Molecule: non-coding RNA, 1958 nt
Organism: Lolium perenne
Lineage: Eukaryota; Viridiplantae; Streptophyta; Magnoliopsida; Poales; Poaceae
Source: RefSeq, a predicted model, not a curated record
GGCACUGCCUGCAGGAUGGCUAUGGCGUGCGCUGCUCGCUGCUCGACAGGCGCCGCCUCCUCAUCCAGGCCAACGCCAGGGGCUCGCGGCCGCGUCGGCCUCGCUCUUCAAGGCCUCUCGCGGGAGCCACUCGUGCCUGCACAGCGACUUCUGAUGCCGCGCCGCCGCCGCCCGCGCACGCCACCAACCGGUUCCUGUCUAAGUAGUUCGCGUCAUGGCUGCUGGGCGCGGAGAGCGGCCUUGACCCCGCGCCGAUGGAGGAGGAGGACGGCGGCUCCGGCGGGGGCCUAAGCCGCGCGGCGCCUCACCACGGGAGGCCGCCAUCAGCGUUGGAUUUGGACUGCAGGCGGCAGCUCCCUGCGGUCGCCGAUCUGGGCAUGGUGUUGCGUGUCGACCCUGUGCCUGCAAGCGGCACAACUGCUGGUGGAUGGAGGUCACGCAGCAGCGCUCCCAAAUUGCUCGAGCUGUUCUCUCCCACAGGGCUCCCAAAUUGGGCAAAAUUCACCUGGAGCAGGUGGCGCCAAGGCUAGCGCGCAGGCCGCAUGGAGCCAAGCAGCCAACGCAAGGUUCAGCUGAGCUAUCCUCAAGGCCAGACAAUCACAGCUUCACCGUUCUUGUGGUGCAUCCUAGAUAUGUCUCAUAUAGAUACAUGUGCCUCUGGAAUUGUGAAUCAAGCAGGAGAUAGCCAGUGAUACUGCCAAACUGAUCUACAUGUUAUGCCAACCAUUUUGUUGCAUAAUUUUACUAUUUCAAUGCUGGUAUGCAGUAUGAUCUAUGAGUAGAGCUUAGUAGAUAGCCUCUUAAUGUUUGUGAUAGCAUUGCCUUUUUAAUAUAGAUCUUGGUAAUAGUGUAUUUCAGAGAGCCUUUUUGUAGAAGGAUAGAACUGAUAUCUAAGCAAAUCAUAUGUUUUUAGAGUCCAGUGAAGAGUGCUUUUGUUCCACACUUGCUGUUGGUUCCUGUAGAUUUCCCUGCCGGGCAAUGGUCAUGUUUUCACCACAAAGCUGAGCUUGUAGGCGUGAUAAGUUACUGCCCUAGGAAGGCUGCAGGGGUUACAAACGCGUCAUUCAGCGAACUUUUCUUGAGACAUCUGACUUUCUUAAAGAUGAUUGCUUCAAGAUAUAAUGCACUCUAGGAUUUUUGUGUCAACUAUUGAAUAUUGAUUACUCCAUGCCACAGUCCAUUCAGGUCCCAUACUUCAACAUUUCCUACCGGGAGAUUGGAAGAAUAAUCGUGCAGAUUUCCCUGCUGAAAGAUUUCUGGCCUCGAGGAUACCAAUGUGUUGCUUGCAUCUAGGAAUACAGGGUUCAAACAACUCGACAACAGCCAUAUGAGGUAGACAUUAUUGUCGACAACCAAGAGCCAUGCAACCCUCUAUCCAUGUCCGAACAUAGGCCAAGUUAAUAACAUGAUUUGCCUUCACACUGCACUUCCGAAUUGUAUUUCUACAUUGUUUCUAGAUACCCUACUUCCAUGAAAGGGUUGCAGCCUUGAUUUGAAUAGAAGAGCUCAUGUCGAAGACCAAAGAAAAAAAGGACAUAUCCACAAAGGAGUCGAUCCAGCUGAAACUUAGAUAUCGAAACCAUAGAAGCCAUCUGCCUAUCAGAAGGAAAGAGACACAGAAGGAAGGAGAGCGUCUUCUCCACUAGAUAGAUGUCAGCUUCCCAAACGGUGCCAAAGCCAAGCCUUCCACAAGGAGCUCACCCGUGGUGCUGUUCCUUACCAUAAUAGGCGAAUGCAUGAAAAUCAUCGUCUUAUCCCCUGAUUGCAAGGACAACUUCGACAAGUACCAAUGGUUUUACAAGUUGAAAGAAUCAAAUAAUUGUCUUGGCAUGGUGUUCUAAUUAAUGUGUUUUUAGGCUAUGGUUAUUAUCAAAUGUGUGUCCUGUUUUAUUUUUAAUUGUAUUGUUCCAUUUAUGUUUAAUGGUGUACUAAAAAUUAUGACGAGAUACAACAUAUCA